GCGUAGGUGAUGGACAACAGGUUGAUAUUCCUGUACUACAGAUAACCGUAUGAGAGAAGGGAUGACACAGUAGGAUAAGCUAAGCACACUGUUGGUUAUGUGUGCCCAAGCAUUGAGGCAGUCAAAGUAGGCAAAUCCGCUUUGAUAAUGAUGGGAUGUGAUGGGGAGCGAAAUUUAGUAGCGAAGUAGCUGAUAUCACACUGUCACAAAAAGUCUCUAUCGAGGUUAAAGGUACCCGUACCGCAAACCGACACAGGUGGGUGAGGAGAGUAUCCUAAGGCCAGCGAGAGAACUGUUGUUAAGGAACGCGGCAAAAUGACCCCGUAACUUAGGGAUAAGGGGUGCCACCAUCAGGUGGCCGCAGAGAAUAGGCCCAAGCGACUGUUUACCAAAAACAUAGGUUUCUGCUAAGUCGCAAGACGAUGUAUAGGAGCUGUCGUCUGCCCGGUGUUGGAAGGUUAAGGGGAUCUGUUAGAGCAA
RNAcentral lists this ribosomal RNA (480 nucleotides) under Clostridioides difficile. Its description in RNAcentral is "bacterial LSU rRNA". It matches the Rfam family "Bacterial large subunit ribosomal RNA", at positions 1409 to 1898 of the family's 2925-position model. The record is from RNAcentral. Lineage: Bacteria; Bacillati; Bacillota; Clostridia; Peptostreptococcales; Peptostreptococcaceae.